CCAAACUUGGUCAUUUAGAGGAAGUAAAAGUCGUAACAAGGUCUCCGUAGGUGAACCUGCGGAGGGAUCAUUACAGAAGUUGUUCUAAACAACGUAAACCCAUGUGAAUCUACCACUGUUGCCUCGGCUGGGUGCGGUGGUGGCCAACUCCGGGGCGAGCUACCCUGUAGCGGUCCCGAGGCGAGCCACCCUGUAGCAGCCGGUGUGUCAACCCAAACUCUUGAAUCUACGUGGGAAAUCUGAGCGUAUUGAUUUAAUAAGUCAAAACUUUCAACAACGGAUCUCUUGGUUCUGGCAUCGAUGAAGAACGCAGC
Molecule: unclassified non-coding RNA, 314 nt
Filed under: uncultured fungus
Lineage: Eukaryota; Fungi
Description: partial contains small subunit ribosomal RNA, internal transcribed spacer 1, and 5.8S ribosomal RNA
Rfam family: Eukaryotic small subunit ribosomal RNA (bases 1-73)
Source: RNAcentral